This 37-nucleotide transfer RNA is filed under the name Kluyveromyces lactis. Its description in RNAcentral is "partial transfer RNA". The record is from RNAcentral. Lineage: Eukaryota; Fungi; Ascomycota; Saccharomycetes; Saccharomycetales; Saccharomycetaceae.
UUCCUCGUGGCCCAAUGGUCACGGCGUCUGGCUACGA